GGGAAAGAUUUGGGGACGAGGAAAAGUAUAACAGGUACUUGAUACGUGGAAUGAAAUUGAUCCUCUGAUGGUAUUUGCGAAAAAUUGUUGUAUUCUCUACCGACGUCGGUACGAUGAUAUCGCUCGAAUCGGUAAAUGCUGGGCGAGAGAUUGAUACGAUGUCAAAGGAAUAUUGAUCUUUCUCUGAAUAUUGUCGUUCCAACGUAUUGGAAUCGUGCAACGAUUCGAUGAACAGUUUACAGUAUUUCCUCCCUGUAUGCUCUCGAGAAUUAUUGAACGUUGAGUCAACGUUGUAACAUAUAUUUAUAUAGACACAUAACAUCACGCUAUUUCUUUCGUU
This is a long non-coding RNA of Apis florea (little honeybee), 340 nucleotides long. The record is from RefSeq and is a predicted model, not a curated record. Lineage: Eukaryota; Metazoa; Arthropoda; Insecta; Hymenoptera; Apidae.